This 1500-nucleotide long non-coding RNA is filed under the name Homo sapiens (human). Its description in RNAcentral is "novel transcript". Lineage: Eukaryota; Metazoa; Chordata; Mammalia; Primates; Hominidae. The record is from RNAcentral.
AAAUAGACCCAGGUUUGUUUCGUUUAAAGGAGGAUGCAAUUCUGUCCGUGAAUGCAUUUUCUCUAAAUGUUGGCUUCAUCCCUCCUUUGGUAGAGCAUGUCAACGGAUUUGCUAAUGGCAAAGAAGGGAAAACAGAAGCAAAGAAAACUGUUUCAAAAGUCUUGGAAUUGCUACUGUUAAAAGGCUGCGGUUCAUUUCUGAUUUCCUCAUCUUUUGCUACAAAGGAAAAAGAAAUCCAAUGAUGUGUCUACCUUUGGUGAGAAGAAAACACGAGCAACAGCAGUGUAGGCAGAAACUGCAGGCUGUUCAGAAUCCAAUUCUCUGGAUAUUGGCAUGCUACAUUCAAUGUCCAGCUACAUUAAGUGUCCAUCUAUCAAAAUACUAGAUUUCAUGGCUGGAGCAGGAAAAGUUAUGAGCUUGGAAUAUCUUCAGUGCCUGAAAGUGAGGAAGUGCUCCCAAAAAUAUGAAGGCCUGUCAAAAGGGAGAGAACAAGAAGGAGGAGGAGCUAGAAAAAGAAAAAGCAGUGGGAACUGUCAUGGGUGAAUCCCAGAAUGGGCAUCCCAGAUGACAUCUGUCUCCAUUCCUGCCAUCUCUUCCUGGCUGCCAGCCACUUAGCCUCCAGGUGUUUGUGUCUAAGGCCAACUCUCUUUCCAGACUAGAAGAAAGUGAGGCAGCUCACCUUUUCAUUUAGGUUUACUUUGGAAAGUUCUGUGGUUGAAUAUCAACAUAGUGACUGAUUUGUGGCUGUAAAGCUGUAGCAGCUCAGGUAGCACAUGUAAGAGUGAGACUGGAUGGAGAGACUGGAUGAAUUAUGCCAUCUUACCAAGGCAUUGAUUAGUUGAUUAAGGCUUGUUUGAGCAAAAAAGUGAGUUAUAUCAGAUAUAGUUAUAUCAGAUACACUGAUACUCAAAUCCCACCAGAGAACUCAGCAGGCCACCGAUAACCCAUUCACUUUUCUUCUCCCGUGACUUUACUCAUCUUAUUAUUAAACAAGGAAUGUCUUGGUCCACCACUGAACCAAGUUUAAGAGUCAACUCAAAUGCCACUUACUUCUUGAAGCCCUUCAUGAUACUGUCAAGGAUAAUGGAAAUAUAUGAUUUCUCCCUUUCAUCUAUAUAAAUUAUUUCCCCAUAUAUACAUUAACAUGUCGUCAGGAAACUUAACAGAAAUAUGGUAACUCUUAUUAAGUUUCCUUUAAGCAUUUUUUUCUAUACUUGUGCCUUAGAAAAAUUGGAAGAACUAGAAAUGGAAAUAUUGCAGAGUGAGAAACUUAUGGGAUGUUCGUUAGAGAGAGUAUCAUGAAGGAAAACAUGAGAUUAAAGACACUGCAACUAUCUGAGAGGCCUGUGUAAAAUUGUGUAAGCAAAAUAAGGAAUCUAAUAUUGAAAUAUGCAAAUAAUUUUACUUUUAGGAACUUAGACUCCUUUGUAGAGCAUUAAAUUUUAUGCUAUAUUAAGUAGAGGUAAUGCUGUUUUGUACAUAAAAACUAUCUUUGGAUUA